This 54-nucleotide transfer RNA is filed under the name Moniliformis sp. XH-2020. Its description in RNAcentral is "tRNA-Asp". The record is from RNAcentral. Lineage: Eukaryota; Metazoa; Acanthocephala; Archiacanthocephala; Moniliformida; Moniliformidae.
UCUGAGUUAGUUUAAUAGAAUAUAGGUUUGUCGUACUUAAGGUUUAGCUUAGAU